AAAAUGAAUUUAAUCUCUCUAGAAACAGUGUUCUGAUUUUACAAAUGUCCACAUUUGGUUUUCAGUUCACCUAGAUGAUGUCAGUACAGCUAGUGAAAUGGAGCACACCUCCUUCAGUCCCUCGGCCUCUGGAAGAAACUAGAUUGCCGAGACACUGAGUACAGACGCUAAUGGAACUCAGAAUGACGUGACAAGAGCAGAAAUGUUGAGAGAAAGGGAAAAGGUGCUUCACAGCACGGCGUGCUUCUGUGAAAACUCCACCGCUCUUACGUUAAUUUUCACCAACCGUGUCAAAAAUCGGACUCAAUAUUUUAAGUAGAAAGCAGUCGGCAUUCCCUGUGGCCACUGGAACGCUUGAGGUGGAAUGACGUCAUGCCUUCGAAAGUGCUGCCGGUAAGUUUUCCAUGCUGCCUUGUACACAACACGCGACCAAAGGGCGGUCUGCUUCAUUCAAUCAGAGUUAUUUUAUAAAGUGCUUGUGUUGAA
This is a long non-coding RNA of Peromyscus leucopus (white-footed mouse), 486 nucleotides long. RefSeq lists it as uncharacterized. Lineage: Eukaryota; Metazoa; Chordata; Mammalia; Rodentia; Cricetidae. The record is from RefSeq and is a predicted model, not a curated record. The transcript is spliced from 2 exons.